AUGGAAAAUGUGGUUGGAAGCCUUCGAAAGGGGGUAAGCACUCGUAGACAAUUGGCAAACUAUUGUGAACAUCACGCGUUUGUCUCUUGUGUCGAACCCCAAAAGGUCUAUGAGGCGCUCGAAGACUCGGAUUGGCUCAAUGCCAUGCAUGAAGAACUCAACAACUUCGAGUACAACAAGGUGUGGAGAUUGGUGCCAAGACCAUCCGGGAACCACAACGUCAUUGGAACCAAGUGGAUCUUCAAGAACAAGCAAGAUGCUCAUGGGAACAUCAUUCGCAACAAGGCAAGAUUGGUAGCACAAGGCUACUCCCAAGUCGAGGGUAUCGACUACGGUGAAACCUUUGCUCCCGUUGCUCGUCUUGAAUCCAUUCGUUUGUUGAUUGCUUAUGCUUCCCAUCACAACUUUAAGUUGCAACAAAUGGAUGUGAAAAGUGCUUUUCUUAAUGGUCCUAUUAAUGAGUUGGUCUAUGUCAAGCAACCCCCCGGGUUCGAGGAUCCCUACUUUCCGGAUCAUGUGUAUCAACUUGAUAAGGCACUCUAUGGCCUUAAACAAGCCCCACGUGCGUGGUAUGACCACCUUACCGAGUUGUUACAAGAUCGUGGAUUUGAAGUAGGGCUAAUCGACCCCACUCUUUUUACUAAGAAGGUCAACGGGGAGUUGUUUGUAUGCCAACUAUAUGUUGAUGAUAUUAUCUUUGGUUCCCCUAACAAAGCUUUCAAUGAAGAAUUUGCCGCUCUCAUGACCUCCAAGUUUAAGAUGUCUUCUAUGGGAGAGUUGAAGUUCUUCCUUGGUUUCGACAUCAAGCAAAGAAGAUAA
RNAcentral lists this ribosomal RNA (819 nucleotides) under Triticum aestivum (bread wheat). RNAcentral describes it as "partial small subunit ribosomal RNA". The record is from RNAcentral. Lineage: Eukaryota; Viridiplantae; Streptophyta; Magnoliopsida; Poales; Poaceae.